This 72-nucleotide transfer RNA is filed under the name Camelus bactrianus (Bactrian camel). It matches the Rfam family "tRNA". From Rfam's summary of the family: Transfer RNA (tRNA) molecules are approximately 80 nucleotides in length. RNAcentral also lists the same sequence under 1 other name. The record is from Rfam by way of RNAcentral. Lineage: Eukaryota; Metazoa; Chordata; Mammalia; Artiodactyla; Camelidae.
GUGGCUAUAACUCAGUGGUAGAGCACAUGCUUUGCAUGCACAAGGUCCUGGGUUCAAUUCCCAAUACCUCCA